GACGAACGCUGGCGGCGUGCCUAAUACAUGCAAGUCGAACGAACCGCGACUAAGUGCUUGCACUAAGUCAAGGUGAGUGGCGAACGGGUGAGUAACACGUGGGUAACCUACCUCAUAGUGGGGGAUAACAGUCGGAAACGACUGCUAAUACCGCAUAGGACAUAGGAUCACAUGAUCCAGUGAGGAAAGGUGGCGCAAGCUAUCGCUAAGAGAUGGACCCGCGGUGCAUUAGCUAGUUGGUAGGGUAAAGGCCUACCAAGGCGAUGAUGCAUAGCCGACCUGAGAGGGUGAUCGGCCACAUUGGGACUGAGACACGGCCCAAACUCCUACGGGAGGCAGCAGUAGGGAAUCUUCCGCAAUGGACGCAAGUCUGACGGAGCAACGCCGCGUGAGUGAAGAGGGUCUUCGGAUCGUAAAGCUCUGUUGUUAGAGAAGAACAGCGCAUAGAGUAACUGCUAUGCGUGUGACGGUAUCUAACCAGAAAGCCACGGCUAACUACGUG
Molecule: ribosomal RNA, 502 nt
Filed under: uncultured bacterium
Lineage: Bacteria
Description: partial 16S ribosomal RNA
Rfam family: Bacterial small subunit ribosomal RNA
Source: RNAcentral